CAAGAAUCCACUUGGUGGCAGUUCAUUAAUAUUUCAUACUUUCCACUUACAAGGAGAAUUGAUUCAUCCUGAACAGAAUUUAUACAUAACCUGGAUAUCAGGAUAUCUUCUCUGUCUGCAGUGACUUCACAAUGCCUUUUGUCAAUGGCAUUCAGAAUGCCUCAUCUAUCACAAUGGUAACCCACACAUUACCUUGAACGAAGAGACACUUUUAAAGUACAGGAGUGGAUCAGUUAGCUCAAAACUGUAAGAUUACAUCAUAUAUUAUGUACCUCUUCACCCAGAAGCAGCUGGAUUAAUAAAACAUUGGAAGGACCUACUGAAGGCUUACUUCAGCUAAAUCUGCAGCUUGAACAAAUCACUUUGAAAGGAAAUUAUAAGUGACCACAUCUUGAACAUUUAGACUCCAUCAGAGGUCAAAACGAGGCUUGGGACAGAGUUCCAUGACACCUAUUGUUGCAGGAGUCACAGAGGCUUCAGCACUCAGGAUGAAAAUUUCCACUCAAGCAUUGUGAACUGGAGUCCACCUGGUACCACCGUGACCUCUAUCAGAAGUGUCUGAUGCCAAGAGAAUUUGGAAUGAAAUAUAUUCAAGGUUAUGAG
RNAcentral lists this long non-coding RNA (603 nucleotides) under Equus caballus (horse). RNAcentral describes it as "lncRNA (ENSECAG00000036298.3)". Lineage: Eukaryota; Metazoa; Chordata; Mammalia; Perissodactyla; Equidae. The record is from RNAcentral.